RNAcentral lists this ribosomal RNA (273 nucleotides) under uncultured bacterium. RNAcentral describes it as "partial 16S ribosomal RNA". It matches the Rfam family "Bacterial small subunit ribosomal RNA", at positions 524 to 796 of the family's 1533-position model. The record is from RNAcentral.
AACUUAUUGGUCGCGCUUGGUCCGGAAUUACUGGGCGUAAAGGGCGCGUAGGCGGUUCUUUAAGUCAGAGGUGAAAACUGUCGGCUCAACCGGCAGCCUGCCUUUGAAACUGGAGGACUUGAGGGCAGGAGAGGGGAGUGGAAUUCCCAGUGUAGCGGUGAAAUGCGUAGAUAUUGGGAGGAACACCAGUGGCGAAGGCGGCUCUCUGGCCUGUUACUGACGCUGAGGCGCGAAAGCGUGGGGAUCAAACAGGAUGAGAUAACCCUGUAGUCC